UAAUACGGCCAUACCACCCUGAACACGCCCGAUCUCGUCUGAUCUCGAAAGCUGAACAGGGUCGGGCCUGGUUAGUACUUGGAUGGGGGACCGCCUGGGAGUACCAGGUGCCGUAAGUG
Ribosomal RNA from Gadus morhua (Atlantic cod), 119 nucleotides. NCBI's taxonomy places the organism in Eukaryota, Metazoa, Chordata, Actinopteri, Gadiformes, Gadidae. The record is from Ensembl.